UUAAAUUUUGCUGUGAACCUAAAACUGCUCAAAAAAUAAGUUUAUUCACUUUUUUAAAGGAGGAAUAAAGGAACUGAGCAUUCUGCCCUCUGACAAAAGGUGAAAUGACAAGAACUAUCAAGCUGAAUGAACUCCCCAGGAGAUGGAAGAAAUCAC
This is a long non-coding RNA of Camelus ferus (Wild Bactrian camel), 156 nucleotides long. It matches the Rfam family "NPPA antisense RNA 1 conserved region 2". The record is from Rfam. Lineage: Eukaryota; Metazoa; Chordata; Mammalia; Artiodactyla; Camelidae.